UACGUAGGGUGCGAGCGUUGUCCGGAAUUAUUGGGCGUAAAGAGCUCGUAGGCGGUUUGUUGCGUCUAUCGUGAAAACCUGCAGCUUAACUGUGGGCUUGCGGUGGAGUACGGGCAGACUUGAGUUCGGUAGGGGAGACUGGAAUUCCUGGUGUAGCGGUGAAAUGCGCAGAUAUCAAGGAGGAACACCGGUGGCGAAGGCGGGUCUCUGGGCCGAUACUGACGCUGAGGAGCGAAAGCGUGGGGAGCGAACAGG
Molecule: ribosomal RNA, 255 nt
Filed under: uncultured bacterium
Lineage: Bacteria
Description: partial 16S ribosomal RNA
Rfam family: Bacterial small subunit ribosomal RNA
Source: RNAcentral